GGGGAAUUUUGGACAAUGGGGGAAACCCUGAUCCAGCCACCCCGCGUGUGCGAUGAAGGCCUUCGGGUUGUAAAGCACUUUUGGCAGGGAAGAAACGGCCUGGGAUAAUACCCUGGGCUAAUGACGGUACCUGCAGAAUAAGCACCGGCUAACUACGUGCCAGCAGCCGCGGUAAUACGUAGGGUGCAAGCGUUAAUCGGAAUUACUGGGCGUAAAGCGUGCGCAGGCGGUUCGGAAAGAAAGGUGUGAAAUCCCGGGGCUUAACCUCGGAACUGCACUUUUAACUACCGGGCUAGAGUACGUCAGAGGGGGGUAGAAUUCCACGUGUAGCAGUGAAAUGCGUAGAUAUGUGGAGGAAUACCGAUGGCGAAGGCAGCCCCCUGGGAUGAUACUGACGCUCAUGCACGAAAGCGUGGGGAGCAAAC
RNAcentral lists this ribosomal RNA (425 nucleotides) under uncultured bacterium. RNAcentral's name for it is "bacterial SSU rRNA". It matches the Rfam family "Bacterial small subunit ribosomal RNA", at positions 356 to 773 of the family's 1533-position model. The record is from RNAcentral.